GGACUACACGGGUUUCUAAUCCUGUUCGCUCCCCACGCUUUCGCUCCUCAGCGUCAGUACAGGCCCAGAGAACCGCCUUCGCCACCGGUGUUCCUCCCGAUAUCUGCGCAUUUCACCGCUACACCGGGAAUUCCGUUCUCCCCUGCCUGCCUCUAGCCAGCCCGUAUCCACUGCAGGCCCAGGGUUAAGCCCUGGGAUUUCACAGCGGACGCAACUGACCGCCUACGAGCUCUUUACGCCCAAUAAUUCCGGACAACGCUUGCGCCCUACGUAUUACCGCGGCUGCUGGCAC
This 292-nucleotide ribosomal RNA is filed under the name uncultured bacterium. Its description in RNAcentral is "partial 16S ribosomal RNA". The record is from RNAcentral.